AAACACGUGGACGGUAGGCUCAGACAGACAGGCAGAUUGGCAGACAGACAGACAGAUUGACGGCCCGCCGUGGCUGCGGCUGCUAGAGUGCUGCAGCUCGCAGCCCUUUGCUGGUCUGGGAGCUAUGCAGAGCUCUCCUCCCCCCUUCGGCAGAGCGCAGCAUCAGGCAGCGAAGCGCAAGCCGUCUAGAGGUGUUGCUGGGCCUCAGACGCGCUGGCUCAGCACGAGGGCAAAGGCGCUGUUCCAGCUAGGGACAUGGACAUGGAGAGAUGCGAGGGGAAUGUCAGGUCGACCAGGCUGCGCCUUUAGGUGAGCCGGCUGUUAUCGCGUCGGAUGGUAUUUAGGCAUCCAGCCCAGAGCCAUGUAAAUGAUGGCCCAUGGUCCCCCCGUACAUAGCGCCCCACCGCGUCCCCAACCCAUAAAAUGCGCAGCUGCCGUUUUGUUGGCGUGAAGAUCUCCCAGCAACGCAGAGCUGCUGCUCCUUUCAUACGAACCUGUAUACUUGCUUACUGUCCGAUAACUCCUCCGCCAACAGGACUGCCCGAGAUUCCAGGUUCGAGCCUUGCCGACUGAUCAGAUUUCGCACGAGUUUUUUGCCUGGG
This 602-nucleotide long non-coding RNA is filed under the name Volvox carteri. RNAcentral's name for it is "long non-coding RNA (VCAR_LNC002647)". Lineage: Eukaryota; Viridiplantae; Chlorophyta; Chlorophyceae; Chlamydomonadales; Volvocaceae. The record is from RNAcentral.